RNAcentral lists this ribosomal RNA (468 nucleotides) under uncultured bacterium. Its description in RNAcentral is "partial 16S ribosomal RNA". It matches the Rfam family "Bacterial small subunit ribosomal RNA", at positions 28 to 507 of the family's 1533-position model. The record is from RNAcentral.
GACGAACGCUGGCGGCGUGCUUAACACAUGCAAGUCGAACGGAAAGGCCCUGCUUUUGUGGGGUGCUCGAGUGGCGAACGGGUGAGUAACACGUGAGUAACCUGCCCUUGACUUUGGGAUAACUUCAGGAAACUGGGGCUAAUACCGGAUAGGAGCUCCUGCUGCAUGGUGGGGGUUGGAAAGUUUCGGCGGUUGGGGAUGGACUCGCGGCUUAUCAGCUUGUUGGUGGGGUAGUGGCUUACCAAGGCUUUGACGGGUAGCCGGGCUGAGAGGGUGACCGGCCACAUUGGGAUUGAGAUACGGCCCAGACUCCUACGGGAGGCAGCAGUGGGGAAUAUUGCACAAUGGGCGGAAGCCUGAUGCAGCAACGCCGCGUGGGGGAUGACGGCCUUCGGGUUGUAAACCGCUUUCGCCUGUGACGAAGCGUGAGUGACGGUAAUGGGUAAAGAAGCACCGGCUAACUACGUG